GAUGAACGCUAGCGGCAGGCCUAAUACAUGCAAGCCGAACGGCAAGUUUGAUAGCAAUAUUGGACCUAGAGUGGCGCGAGUGUGCGUAACACGUAUGCAACCUGCCCGCGACAGGAGGAUAGCUCCCCGAAAGGGGAAUUAACCCUCCAUAACACCAUGAGAAGGCCUCUGAUUAUGGUUAAACCGCAAGGCGUCGCGGAUGGGCAUGCUGUUGAUUAGCUAGUUGGCGGGGUACAGGCCCACCAAGUCGGUGAUCAAUAGGGGUACUGAGAGGAAGGUCCCCGACACUGGCACUGAGAUACGGGCCAGACUCCUACGGGAGGCAGCAGUAGGGGAGAUAGGAGAAUGGUUGAAAGACUGAUCCAGCAAUGCCGCGUGCAGGAAGAACGGUUUCUGGGACGUAAUCUGCUUUAUCCUGAGGAUAAAAUACCCGUGCGCGAGGAAUUGAAGGUAACAGGAGAAUAAGCCACGGCUAACUACGUG
This 483-nucleotide ribosomal RNA is filed under the name uncultured bacterium. Its description in RNAcentral is "partial 16S ribosomal RNA". It matches the Rfam family "Bacterial small subunit ribosomal RNA", at positions 28 to 507 of the family's 1533-position model. The record is from RNAcentral.